CCAAAGGCUCUUUUCAGAGCCACCACAUUUCUCACCUGAGAGGCUGU
This is a regulatory RNA element of Neotoma lepida (desert woodrat), 47 nucleotides long. It matches the Rfam family "Histone 3' UTR stem-loop". Rfam says of the family: The mRNAs of metazoan histone genes lack a poly-A tail. 3' end processing occurs at a site between a highly conserved stem-loop (modelled by this family) and a purine rich region around 20 nts downstream (the histone downstream element, or HDE). Lineage: Eukaryota; Metazoa; Chordata; Mammalia; Rodentia; Cricetidae. The record is from Rfam.